RNAcentral lists this long non-coding RNA (7647 nucleotides) under Agrilus planipennis (emerald ash borer). Its description in RNAcentral is "uncharacterized LOC108742198, transcript variant X2". Lineage: Eukaryota; Metazoa; Arthropoda; Insecta; Coleoptera; Buprestidae. The record is from RNAcentral.
UGCCGGGGCUACAGGUUGAUAAUAAUUUUAAUUGGGUUUCAUGGACUGAAUUAAAAAAAUAUUCUAUUUUCUGCAUAUUAAAGAAGGUCAAUUUGAGUUUGUCUAUUUAGCUAGCAAAAGAAAGUUCAUUAUAAGUCUGAAGAAAAAUAAUUGAUUAAUUUGAUAUUAUGCUGAAAACAACUGAUGUUUGUUUUCUUGUUUCAGAAAAAAUUCCAAAUUGUAAUGCAGAUGCAUUAAUAUAGUCUGCCUGUUUUAGUGGAUUAGCCCUUACAUUAAAGGUAAUGCUUCAUUUGUUUAGGAAAUAUGAAUAGCUUAAUUAAUAUUCUUUCUUUUUACAGAGCUGAUCUGGUAAUUUCAGUGUUAGUGUGUGUGUGUGUGUUAGAUGCAGUAGGUGGAAGGGGCUGGAGGAGCUAGCAGAUAAUGAAAAGGAUUAUGCUAUUCACAAACAUUAAAAAGGUAAAUUGAAAAAUACUGUUUUUUGUUAAAAUUAAAAUAUAUUCAACUUUUUUCUUAUUAUUUCAGGUAGGGUAGGUCAUCGUGGGAAGAAGAGGAUUCGCCGAAUAUAUAUCAUCGGUAUGAGUUUGAUGUAAUUUUCAUUUGUGCCCCUUUUGGGAGGCUGAUAUUUUUUAUGUGUACUUUUUCUAUCGCUUGUUUGAAAUUCUUUUUCACAUCAAGUGACAAAAGAACGCGAAUUUUUAGGUACUUCAGCAAGUGUAGUGAUGUGAUGCUGAUGUUUACAAAACAUUGUAAGUUAUUUUUUAUUUCACACUUGAUUAUUUUUUCUUCUGACAUAUUCACUUGUUUCAGGAACGACGAGAUUUCUUAGAUUAUCAACGACAACUGACCGAAACAAUCGAGCUAUUAUAUUAAGUUAAUUUUUGUUUUUUUGUUUCUGUUACAGAUUCAAUCACCCCGUCUCUCUAUUCUACUUACUAAGGUUAGAAAUUUAAAUGGAAAGAAGACAAAUUUCACAAUCUGUGAAGUACCUAGAAGAAGACCAAGGUACAUCAUACUUUGCAUCUCGAGGCUGUCUUUCGCAUAAAAGGAGAAUGAGCCAUUGAAAGAAUAAACAACAAAGAAAAUACACAAGAAGCAGACGGUUAUAACGAUGUAAAUUAACUUAUUUAAUUAAGAAACAAAUUGUUAUUAAUACUUUGUCUUGUUUUUCCAUAGGCAGGUUAUACGUAUGUAAUAAUCGAGAAUUGAGAUGUAAUAAUCAUAAUCAACGAUAUCAGCGAUUUCAAACAAGGUAACUAAUAAUUAUAAUUUUUUUUAUUUUUUCUUGCUUGUCGAUUUUGAAACUUGUAUUGUUUAAUUGUAUCUUUCGUUUUAUAUUUACAGGGUCAUUGCGUUUGUGUUUAUUAUAAUUAGAAGAACGAACUUUACGUGGGGGAGUAAACAGGCGAAUAUGGUGUGGUACGAAGUGUAAUGGGCAGAGAAUGAAGAGGAUUUUGCUAUUCACAAUCGAUAAAAAGGUAGGGUAGGUCAUCGUGGGAACAAGAGGAUUUGCCGGACUUUCGGUAUGAGUACGAUGCAUUUUAUGCAAAUAAGUUGAGCCAAAAAUACGGGGGUUAAUAGCCUUCUAUUCGAUGUAAAAUCGAACCGACGUUUCGCAUUCUACUAUGGAAUUUUAUCAGGGCUACAGAAGGUGUUCUUAAUGUUACACAUUGUUGUUAAUAAUUGCAGCAUACUAGUUUUUUUUGGUUGGUUAUUGUACUGUUCAAAUGUUGUCUCUUUUGUGGAGUCGGUAACUAACUAAACAACCUAGUAAGUUACAAUUAUUAAUAACGAUGUGUAACAUUAAGAACACCUUUUGUAGUGCUGAUUGAAACCUCCUAAUAGAAGGCCAAAUGUACCUAGGUUAGGUUUUACAUCGAAUAAAAAUUUAUUCACAAUAUCCUAACCGAAGGUACGAUAUUUUUUCUUGAUUUGAGGGACGAAAGCACAACAUUCCCACCAGGAUAAGAAAUCGCAUUUACUCUUUAUUAGAAAAGGCUUUUAACAUCCUCCGAGUCGUUUCCACUAGAAGGAUGUUAAAAUACUUUUCUCGUAAAUAGUAAAUGGUGUUUCUUACCUGGGAGGUUAUGUUGAGCUUAAGUCCCUAAAAUGAGGAAAAAUACUACUUUCGGUUAAGGUAUAUCCCAAAAUUGUAUGCGGGCCUCGUGAAAAAACUACUAUACCCCCUCCUAGGAGGGAGUAUCGUACUUGCUUCCCUUGGUGUGUAAUAUACUAUUUUAUUCGAUCUAAAACACAAUCGACGUUUCGCUUUCUAUUAAGGGUUUUAUCAAUGCUACAAAAAAUGCUCUUAAUAUUACACAUUGUUGUUAAUAAUUGCAGCAUACUAGUUUUUUUUGGUUGGUUAUUGUGGUGUUCAAAUGUUGUCUCUUUUGUGGAGUCGGUAACUAACUAAACAACCUAGUAAGUUACAAUUAUUAAUAACGAUGUGUAACAUUAAGAACAGCUUUUGUAGUGUUGAUUGAAAUCUCCUCAUAGAAGGCCAAAUGUACCUAGGUUAGGUUUUACAUCGAAUAAAAAUUUAUUCAUCAUACCCCAACCGAAAGUGCGAUACUUUUUCUUGGUUUCAGGGACGAAAGCGCAAUAUCAUCCCCACCAUGGUAAGAAAUCGUAUUUACUACUUAUAAGGAAAGACUUUUAACAUCCUCCGAGUUGUUUCCACUCGAAGGAUGUUAAAAUACUUUUCUAGUAAAUAGUAAAUGGCGUUUCUUAGCUGGUAGGUUAUGUUGCGCUUACAUCCCUAAAAUUAGGAUAAAUACUAUUUUCGGUUUGGGUAUUGUACAGAAAGUGUGAAUCUGAUUUCAAGGACAAGAAAGUCCAACAUAACCUCCUUGUAUUUACUCGAUGGGAGUUCCUACCCGAGAGAGAAUGUUGAGCUUUCUUUUCUGAAAUUAGACGAUAGGGUAUCUUUAAAAAAAAAUUAACCCCGUCUUUUUUACCCGAUUUAUUUGCAUUCUUCAGAUGAGGAGUAUUAUAGGGAUCCAUUUAUUCUGAUAUUCUUUUGUAAUUUACAAAAGAACAAGGCAUAUUUCUUUUAUUGUUUUGUAUUUGUUUAAUAACUUCGUACAAGACGAUGUUGGUAAGUUUUUAUCCUUAAAAAUUAUUUCUUUAUUGAAUGUUGACUUUACAGGACUUUAUCAUGAUUUCCCGGAGUUUCGUACCCGAAGCGUGAAAAUUGCAGCCAAAUCCAUCUCCGCGUCGGACAGCCGUUGAAUUUUCUGCUUCUAAUGUGUAUAUAUAUAUACGUAUUGUGUAAUAAAGGUUGGUCCAAAAAAUACCACGGGGGCCUAUAAUAAUGUUUGUUUUAUAUGUACAUUUACUUGUAUAAUGCGACUCUAAAAGGGAGGGGGACUGGGGAUCUAUUUAAAGCGGUUCUUGUGAUUAUAAUGGAAACAAGAACAGUCACAACUAAUUGUUCUAUUUCUACCCUAAUAAAAUUUCGUAAAAAAUCGGCGCUUGCAUUACAAACACAACAUAUUUUCUGUUAGACGUUAAAUUUUCCAAUUUUUUUGUGUCUCUAGUUGUAUUCCUGUAGCUUGAAUUAUUUUAACUGUACAAGUCUCCAUAGACAUUUGUUAUGUACAAUUAUAGCAAAAAUAUAAAUGACAAUUUUGUAGCAAAUCUUAUCCGCCUACAAAAAGAGUUCUAUGGAUCAGACCUUUAAUAGUGUUUACAAUUUAGAUAAUAUUGAGACUUUAUCUUUUAUAUAUAAAACUCAAUUUUAAAUUUAAAAGCAUGUAUGAUAAGCCUCUACCUCCGCCAAACUAUAGACAUUACAUAUUUGAUUUAUAGAACAUUUUUUGUAAUGAAUAAACUUCGUUACAAAAUUAUCACAUACAGCGAUUUAACGAUUUAAGUUUGUGAUUUUAAUUUAUUUAUAUUGUAAAGUUACACUUAUCUAGCGUAUUAUAUCAUAAUACAACCGAUACCUAAUCCACAUCAUUUGGAAACCAAUAUUUUUUAACAUAAAAACUUUUCUCAAAAAAGUCUAAGAAUUAAAGACAAAACGUUGGUUUUUGAUAAAAUAGAAACUUUUCUCCUUAAAAAGUAGCGCGAUUCCACAUUCAAUUAUCGUUUACAUUUUUGCUUAUUAAUUUUAUCGUACAUAAUUAAUGUUUUUCGAAAUUCGUACAUGUUGCAGUAACAGUUACGUUUUUGUGCUGCUAACAAAUAACAGUUCGAUUUACAGCAUUCAAUAAAAAAACUACUUACAUCGAUUUUAUUAUAAUUAUCAUACUUGAUGAAAAUUUAGGAAAUGAAGCUAUAAACAGUUGUGUUUGUAAUUAUAUGCUAAUUUAGUAAAUACUUAACUUUUAAUGUGUAUUUUGCAAGUAUGGAUUAUUUCCCUACAUUUAACAUCUACUGCUUUAUUCAAACGGUAAAAACUCACCUUAUUAUUUCAGUAUUAUAUUAUUAUAACACCAUUAACAUAAAAAUUACGGUGAAAAAUAAUUCAUUGAUGUGACAUUUAUUAUAUUCUUAUGAAAAAUAAGAAUUAUCGCGGCGGCAAUUUAUUAUUAUUUAUUUAUUUACAGACAGAUCAAAUGCGAAUUUUCAAAAAGGAGAUUUUUAUUAUUGUUUCAGUGAGAGCGAGCUUGUAAAAUGGAAAUAAGUGCAUUUCAUUACGUUCGAUGUACUUAAAAUUAUUGUUAAGGUAUACAGAUACUGUUUAUUAUUAUUGUAAAAUUCGAUUUAAAAAAUACGAGAGAGAAAACGCGUGGUAUGAUGUGUGUCGGAAAAACGGCGUCUUUAAUUAAGCGCAGGGUAUGACUGGGAUGAUGAUAGCGUCGCGACGGUACACUGAAAACUGGUUCAGGUUCGGAUCACAGAUAUGCGUAGUACGGUAUUGUAAGGACGAGAGUCCUUUCGGUUAUUUUCGUUCGACGAAAAACCAAUCACAUUUCACGAUGAUAGAGACGACGACGAGUCAGAUAAUAUAUAAACAAACUUGUCACAGUUUACGCUGCCAUCAAUUUUGACCGCGUCGCAGAUUUACCAAAUAUAGAAUAGUCAUUAGUGAUAAAAAUUCCAUAUCAAUUAUGCCCACAUUAUUAGAGUUCAGACCCUAGACAUUACGGCUUUAAAAUCGAAUUAAAAGCUGUUGCUAAUCUAGACUAAAAGAUUGACCCCCCCUGCCCAAAUGAAGAGGUCACUGGCAUAUUUAGUCGAUCAUUACGACGAGUAGAAAAAGAUCAUCAAGUCAAAACGUAAAUUCGACCGCUCUGUACAAAUCGAAACCCCAGGACGAGGAGGGGGAACUUUUACCCAUCGCAGCCUAACCUACCCUACCAAAUAUUUAUUAUUUCUUUAUUCCUUGUACGAUGAAAAUAUUAUCGAUUGCUAAGCAUAAGAGUAAAGCCGCCUGGCUGUAGUUAUAUGUGUCAUGUUUAAUAUGUUUAUUUUGGCUAAUCUGUAAACUAGCCAAGCAUAAUAGUGUACAAACUGUUCAAAUGUCUGAUUUAGUGGAUACGUUUAGAAUUAUAAGGUUACAGUAAGAGAAGUGAGUGUUGUUUACUUCUACCGUCUAAUGAUCCCAAACAUAUUCUUCAAAUUAAUCAUACAUUUGGAUAGUUUGUAUACUAUCCAGCUAGGUCCCAAAUUAUCCAAAGUAAUUAUAUCAAAAACCAAAGUUUUAAUCUUAUGAUUAGUAAUCGAUAGUAUACAUUUUUUAACACAUUAUCCUACGAUAAUUUUCCUCCAAAAAAAUUCAAAAGUUUUUGAAAUUUUGGUAAAAAUACUACUCUCCUACUUCACAGACGUAACAUUUUCAUCGAAAAAUGAAUACUAUCCAGGGUAGUUUAGAUUGUGAUGGGUAAAAGUUCCCCUCGCCCUUGGGUUUCGAUUUGUACACAGCGGUGGAAUUUACAUUUUCUUACUUGUGGUAAUGAUCGACCGACUAUGCCAUUGUCUUUUUCAUUUGAGGGGAUGGGGGGGUUAAUGUUUUAAUGUAGUUUAACGAUAGUUUUCUUUUGGUAGUGUGAUGAACUGCCCCAUAUUGCACAACCACCGUAUAGACGUCAACGUAUUAAUUAAAAUUAAUGUAACUAUUCUUGGAAAUUCGUUUUUUCAAUGUUAAGUUCGUUCAAAUGGAAACAUCGACCUUAUUGCGUGAAUGAGCAUCUAAAGAAAUUAUAAACUUCGGAAAUUUGUGGCAAAGGAAAUCUACCGAUUGAUUUUUUUGUUUUAUUUUUCCGAAAAAUAUUCAAACAAGUUAAAAAUACAUUACGGUAACACAACAACCAUAAAGCAGCAAACUUAAUUAAACGUAAAUGUAGCAAUCUGAUGAAAUAUCGCAAAAUAUAUCUAGGUAUAAAAUUAACGUACGACGUUAUGCGAUAUUAUGUCGUACUUACUCGAAAUUUGACUUGGGAUUGAAACAAGUCUCCGAGUAGCGAAUUAUUUCCUUUUCGGGCUUUAAUUACUAUUUGCAGCCUUCAAGGCAUCUUAGUAAUAACAUUCUUAAUGGUUUCUCGAGGAAUUUCACCCCAUUAUUCUUACACUGCAUUUCGCAGUUCGUUCUCGCUCUCCUACCGAAUUUCCCUAUUUUACCAUCUACAUACAUUUGUGUAUUAUGUAGUAAUAAAAAUCCUAUAACGUUUCCGUUUUCUGUCGUUGUGCCAUGACAAAAAAUGCACUAAAAUACCUUUUAUCGCCUUAUUGACUAGUUGGAAAUGUACGCACGCUAACACAGCAAGCAGUUCUCUAAAACCACCCCACUAAGUACGUUUAUCUGCAUCCGAAAUCCCCUUUAACCCUUAUCAACCUCCAUCAUUUGGUUAAUGCUCACGCAAAAACAUCGCAAGCCUUCCCGUGCGCUACAUUAAAUCGAAAAUUUCGAUGGUUUUGCUUGCGAUUACAAAAUGAAACAUAGCAACUUGCUAGACACCACCGUAACAUUAUUUCUAUUUAAGAAUAAUAUUUUCUAUUUUAGCAACUUGGCAUGUUUUUUUUUCCAUUUUAUACCAAUUAGUAAUAUUAAAGGCAGGGCCGCUUUAGAAAUAGAUUUACAGGGAUAAAAUAGGAGACCAGAGGGUGCGAUGAAUGUCAAUGAGGAAAAUUAGGGGUAGGAUUGUAGGACAUCUCCUGAGACAUGAAGAGUUAUUUGGAGACAUAUUAGAAACUGAAAGAGGAAAUAAGAAGGAUACUGGUAGACCUAGAGUAGAUUACUAUUCACAAGUAGUAGGAAUGAGUGGAGGUGCGGGUCUAAUUAGUCUUAGGACUGACGACCUUAUGGUGAUGAUGAUAGCAGAAUAUCUCAAUUCGAUCUUGGCAUUUUACCGCGUAAAUAUUUCGUAUAUUAAUUUCGGUCCUAACUAUUAACACAUGCAAAUUAUUAGCCGGGGUAGAAUAAUUUAAUUAUUUAUGGAUUACUUCCUUUAGCAGCAACAUAACUAACUUGUACCGUCGUACUCGCAGUUAUCGCCUAGCGGAAUUUCGUCUAAUCUAUGGUAAAUUUUCUUAAUGAAAUCUGAUGUGCUAGUUUAAUAAAUUUCUUCCGGCAUAAUUGGCAAUAAUUGGAUUCUGCAAUGUUGGUACGUUCUAACUAUUAGCUCACCCCUCACGCGUGCUCAAAUGUAUAAAUUUAUGUACAUAAAUAUGGAUACAUUUACAUCAAAAAAAAAAAAAAAUAAA